UACGGGGGGGGCAAGCGUUGUUCGGAAUUACUGGGCGUAAAGGGCUCGUAGGCGGCCAACUAAGUCAGACGUGAAAUCCCUCGGCUUAACCGGGGAACUGCGUCUGAUACUGGAUGGCUUGAAUCCGGGAGAGGGAUGCGGAAUUCCAGGUGUAGCGGUGAAAUGCGUAGAUAUCUGGAGGAACACCGGUGGCGAAGGCGGCAUCCUGGACCAACACUGACGUUGAGUGAGCGAAAGCCAGGGGAGCAAACGGG
Molecule: ribosomal RNA, 254 nt
Filed under: uncultured bacterium
Lineage: Bacteria
Description: partial 16S ribosomal RNA
Rfam family: Bacterial small subunit ribosomal RNA
Source: RNAcentral